This 483-nucleotide unclassified non-coding RNA is filed under the name Aglaia lawii. Its description in RNAcentral is "partial external transcribed spacer". The record is from RNAcentral. Lineage: Eukaryota; Viridiplantae; Streptophyta; Magnoliopsida; Sapindales; Meliaceae.
GUGAUUGGAUGGCAUGUGUUUGCAGGCUCCUUGCUCUGUGCAUUGAACUGUUGGCGCACCAUCCGCUUCAAUUUUUCCCCGAGCGCUUUUCUUGGCUCGUGGGUUCGGUUGGUAUCCUGUGUUGCUUACCCACGUGCGGGAAUKAAUYGGUUUUGAUGCUCUYAUUCGCCUUAUGCCUUACGGGGUGUGGGGUGGACGCGAGGCGGGCUYUGCGCUCCCGGCGUGCUUCGUGUUAAGUUGCGUGGCCGUCUUGGCGCGCGGAGUCUUCGCUCGCGCUCUCGGAUGCGGAAUGUUUAUGCGUGGGCRUGGGGCCUCGGCCUUGAUCCGCCUGAGCUUUACGCAAAUGUCCCUUGACACGAAUGACGGCCGCUCCCGUCUCGAAUUCCGCCGUGCGGGUCGUGCGGGCGUCGGCGUCACCGAGGAAUGCUACCUGGUUGAUCCUGCCAGUAGUCAUAUGCUUGUCUCAAAGAUUAAGCCAUGCAU